GCGAGGGUUGCCGAGCCCGGUCAAAGGCGCUGGAUUUAGGGUCCAGUCACGAAGGUGUUCGCCGGUUCGAAUCCGGUCCCUCGCA
Molecule: transfer RNA, 85 nt
Filed under: Methanoregula sp.
Lineage: Archaea; Methanobacteriati; Methanobacteriota; Methanomicrobia; Methanomicrobiales; Methanoregulaceae
Description: tRNA-Leu
Rfam family: tRNA
About the family: Transfer RNA (tRNA) molecules are approximately 80 nucleotides in length. Their secondary structure includes four short double-helical elements and three loops (D, anti-codon, and T loops).
Source: RNAcentral